Small nuclear RNA from Loxodonta africana (African savanna elephant), 105 nucleotides. NCBI's taxonomy places the organism in Eukaryota, Metazoa, Chordata, Mammalia, Proboscidea, Elephantidae. The record is from Ensembl.
GUGCUCACUUCAGCAGCAUAUAUACUAAAUUGGAAGGAUACACAGAAGAUUAGCGUUGCCCUGUGCAAGGACGACACACAAAUUAGUGAAGUGUUCCAUAUUUUU